UUCCUGGUGGCUCAGCGGUAAAGAAUCUGCCUGCAAUGCAGGAGACCCAGGUUCGAUCCCUGGGUUGGGAA
Molecule: non-coding RNA, 71 nt
Organism: Bos taurus (domestic cattle)
Lineage: Eukaryota; Metazoa; Chordata; Mammalia; Artiodactyla; Bovidae
Source: Rfam